AGCAGUCGCCGCGGUAACACGGAGGGUGCAAGCGUUAUCCGGAUUUAUUGGGUUUAAAGGGUCCGUAGGCGGAUCUGUAAGUCAGUGGUGAAAUCUCACAGCUUAACUGUGAAACUGCCAUUGAUACUGCAGGUCUUGAGUAAAUUUGAAGUGGCUGGAAUAAGUAGUGUAGCGGUGAAAUGCAUAGAUAUUACUUAGAACACCAAUUGCGAAGGCAGGUCACUAAGAUUUAACUGACGCUGAUGGACGAAAGCGUGGGGAGCGAACAGGAUUAGAUACCCCAGUAGUCCCUGUCUCUUAUAC
Molecule: ribosomal RNA, 303 nt
Filed under: uncultured bacterium
Lineage: Bacteria
Description: partial 16S ribosomal RNA
Rfam family: Bacterial small subunit ribosomal RNA
Source: RNAcentral